This 253-nucleotide ribosomal RNA is filed under the name uncultured bacterium. Its description in RNAcentral is "partial 16S ribosomal RNA". It matches the Rfam family "Bacterial small subunit ribosomal RNA", at positions 524 to 776 of the family's 1533-position model. The record is from RNAcentral.
UGCAGAGACUGCAAGCGUUAUUCGGAUUCACUGGGCGUAAAGGGUGCGCAGGCGGCCAAGUGUGUUAGGCGUGAAAGCCCGGGGCUUAACCCCGGAAUUGCACCUAAAACUACAUGGCUAGAGCAUUGGAGAGGGUAGCGGAAUUCACGGUGUAGCAGUGAAAUGCGUAGAUAUCGUGAGGAACACCAGAGGCGAAGGCGGCUACCUGGACAAUUGCUGACGCUCAGGCACGAAAGCGUGGGGAGCAAAAGGG